Molecule: ribosomal RNA, 459 nt
Filed under: uncultured bacterium
Lineage: Bacteria
Description: partial 16S ribosomal RNA
Rfam family: Bacterial small subunit ribosomal RNA
Source: RNAcentral
GCUACGGGAGGCAGCAGUGAGGAAUAUUGGUCAAUGGCCGGAAGGCUGAACCAGCCAAGCCGCGUGAAGGACGAAGGUGCCAAGCAUUGUAAACUUCUUUUGUCAAGGGACAAAAUCAGGCACGAGAGCCUGACCGAAGGUACUUGAAGAAAAAGCAUCGGCUAACUCCGUGCCAGCAGCCGCGGUAAUACGGAGGAUGCGAGCGUUAUCCGGUUUUAUUGGGUUUAAAGGGGGGGUAGGCGGACUGUUAAGUCAACGGUAAACUCCCGGGGCUCAACCCCGGCGAGCCGUUGAAACUGGCUGUCUUGAGGUGUCUAGAGGUAUGCGGAAUGCGCGGUGUAGCGGUGAAAUGCUUAGAUAUUGCGCAGAACUCCGAUUGCGAAGGCAGCAUACCGGCGGCGAUCUGACGCUGAGGCACGAAAGCGUGGGUAUCGAACAGGAUUAGAUACCCCUGGAGUC